UGGGGAAUUUUGCACAAUGGGCGCAAGCCUGAUGCAGCGACGCCGCGUGAGGGAUGAAGGCCUUCGGGUUGUAAACCUUUUUCGCUCAUGGUCAAGCCGCAGCUUUGGGUUGUGGUGAGGGUAGUGGGUAAAGAAGCGCCGGCUAACUACGUGCCAGCAGCCGCGGUAAUACGUAGGGCGCGAGCGUUGUCCGGAAUUAUUGGGCGUAAAGGGCUUGUAGGCGGUUGGCCGCGUCUGCCGUGAAAUCCUCUGGCUUAACUGGGGGCGUGCGGUGGGUACGGGUUGACUUGAGUGCGGUAGGGGAGACUGGAAUUCCUGGUGUAGCGGUGGAAUGCGCAGAUAUCAGGAGGAACACCGAUGGCGAAGGCAGGUCACUGGGCCGUUACUGACACUGAGGAGCGAAAGCGUGGGGAGCGAACAGG
Molecule: ribosomal RNA, 422 nt
Filed under: Verrucomicrobiota bacterium
Lineage: Bacteria; Pseudomonadati; Verrucomicrobiota
Description: Verrucomicrobia bacterium partial 16S ribosomal RNA
Rfam family: Bacterial small subunit ribosomal RNA
Source: RNAcentral